GCUGGCAGCCAUAUCACCAUUCAACCCCCACUGGAAGUCCAAUGAAGUUUAGCAGGUGUGAGCCUGGUCAGUACCUGGAUGGGGGACCUCCUGAGAAAAACUAAGGUUGCUGCUGGAA
RNAcentral lists this ribosomal RNA (118 nucleotides) under Lepisosteus oculatus (spotted gar). Lineage: Eukaryota; Metazoa; Chordata; Actinopteri; Semionotiformes; Lepisosteidae. The record is from RNAcentral.